RNAcentral lists this ribosomal RNA (497 nucleotides) under uncultured bacterium. RNAcentral describes it as "partial 16S ribosomal RNA". It matches the Rfam family "Bacterial small subunit ribosomal RNA", at positions 28 to 507 of the family's 1533-position model. The record is from RNAcentral.
GAUGAACGCUGGCGGCGUGCCUAAUACAUGCAAGUCGAGCGAACAGACGAGGAGCUUGCUCCUCUGACGUUAGCGGCGGACGGGUGAGUAACACGUGGAUAACCUACCUAUAAGACUGGGAUAACUUCGGGAAACCGGAGCUAAUACCGGAUAACAUGUUGAACCGCAUGGUUCAACAGUGAAAGACGGUCUUGCUGUCACUUAUAGAUGGAUCCGCGCCGCAUUAGCUAGUUGGUAAGGUAACGGCUUACCAAGGCAACGAUGCGUAGCCGACCUGAGAGGGUGGUUCGCCACCCUGGAACUGAGAAACCGUCCAGGAUCCUACGGGGGGGCAGAAGUGGGGAUUUUCCGCAAUGGGGCGAAGCCCGGACGGGGCAACCCGCGGGGGGUGAGGAAGGCUUUCGGUUGUAAAACCCUGUUUUUAGGGAAAGACCAAAGUGGUAGGUAAUGAGCACAGCUUGACCGUUACUAAACCAGAAGGCACGGCUAACUACCUG